This is a long non-coding RNA of Mauremys reevesii (Reeves's turtle), 4449 nucleotides long. RefSeq lists it as uncharacterized. Lineage: Eukaryota; Metazoa; Chordata; Testudines; Geoemydidae. The record is from RefSeq and is a predicted model, not a curated record. The transcript has 5 exons.
UCUCACAGUCUGGUUUAAAUAUAUACAUCUAUUGCUUUAAAUCUCAAUUUUGGAUGACCCGGUUUUGUGGCCCACAAACACACUUCGAUGGGCGAGUGCACGUGCAAAACUACCUUUGAAUGGGACUUUGCUAUGGAUGAGAAUGUUCAUAACAUGCAGUUCUGACUUGUAACAAUCCAACCUUUGUGCCAGCCAAAGGAAUUGUGGCCCUGGUGUUGAAGCACUUUGGAUGAUGAUAUUCACACUCCGUAAUGAUAGGAUCUGUAAAGUUCUGAGCCUUCUUCACUCAAACAUCCAAGAGGCAACAGCUGGCUCAGAGCCUUGUUAAUGGAACAGAGAGCUUUUCACCUCUAGGUCACUGGCUCAGCUGUGACCCAGGCAGUAGAGAAUAAAAGACUUACAAUCUGACAGCUAUUCAGUGGCCUUUGGGGAAAAAGCUUGGCAUCUCAGUUCAGUUCCUAGUGUCAAUGUCACAAAAACUGCCAUCACGGUUGAUCCUCUUGUUGGCAGUCUCAUCAGAAAGGCUAGGGAUUAAAAGGCUCUUGGAGAUUAACAUUCUCUCUUGACAUUAUAGAUGCUCCUUCCUGGUCUGGGGUGUGACACACCCACAGGGGGGUGAUGUGAGUGCCCCGAUGCACCUAUUCUGUGGCUAUUCUCCAGGUCUGUCAGUCUGAGGAUUUGAUGCACUCUUAGAAGGAAAAACAACGUGCGAAGGAGGAUGUUGAUAAAGUGAAAUUUAAAUUAUGAUAAUCAUUCAAGAUUAAAUUGGAUGUUUCUCUGUCUUCAGUAUUCCCAGAUUUACUGGAAAUGGUGACCACCUCAGUAACCAUUACCUAUCAGCAUCUAUGAUUAUCUCAUUGAUCCCUUAUGCUGUAGUCUCCUCUCUCCUAGAUAUUCAGAAGAUACAGGAAAGGACAUCAUCACAGACUGGUCGAAUCAGUGUCCCUCCUGCCCAUGGCACCGUGUCACUCCCAGACAUGCCAGUUUCAGUGAUGGGGCCUUCCAGGACUGGCGAGAAAAAUAGGAUGGUUUGCAGUCCCAGGCCCUGGAGUCUGCCCUCUGUGGGCCACUUUACCUGCCCUGUGAGGGGGUGCGAUGACCUGAACGGCCCAUGCUGGAGGCCUGUGCUCGGGACUUUGAGACAAGAGUGACACUCACCCUCUCUCCAAGGGGACACGAGACAGUCCUCCCAGUGUAUAUAAUCUGGACAAAGGAGGAAGGAAUGGAGAGAAGACAUCAAAAUCUAACGGGAUCCUAACAUUAAAAGUGAUGUAAAAAGCCAAAGGGGGAUGCAGGGAGGAAGGACAAGGAUAAUCUGCAGAAAUGCAGGAAACCAACAGAAAUGUGUGGGAACCAACCACUUCUUAUCCUAGCCUGCAAUUCUCCAAAAGCAGCUCUUCUCUCCCUGUUACUCUGGUAUUAUGAGCCAAUGUCACACUAAAGGGACUCUUCAUCAUUCCCCAACUCCAGCAUGCCGCUAUGAUCUGCGUGGGUCCAGUAUCUGAACAGCUCAGAUGGAAACUCAGACUAAUCCAUGGAUUUCACAUGAAGUUUAACGUUCUGUAGAUGCACAUUUAGCAGCCUUCUGAGGUCCCUGUAAAAUUUUUAUUUUCUUCCAAAAACAGCUUUGGGGGCUGGUUGUUUUUAAAACAAAGUCUAACACAUUUAAUCAUCUUUUCAUAAGCUGUCAGCUUGUUUUAUAUGUGAACUUGGAGUCGUGAAUUAUGCUCAAAUCUCAGAGCAAACCUUGCACAUGUGCAGCAAGAACUUGGCACAAAUACCAACAAUAUGACAUCUGUGAUGGUAAGAGUUCUAAGCCCUUGGUGACAAGUUUGCAGAAUCAGGGCCUAGAACUAUAAAGGCAAAUUAUAAAAAAGGUCAGGUUAUAGUUUUGUGAUUUUUUUUUAGACAAUCAUUUAAAAAUUAUGCCAAAAGCCUUAGAUUUUAGUAUUUAACUCAAAAUAGCCUCUAUUCCUUCCCUAAAGCUGAUAACAUUUUAAACCACUAUCCCAAUAGUCCCUCAGCAGCAACAAACGAACAGCUCUCCAUGCUAGAUGAAAGCCUCCAUGAUUGUAAGGACAAACUGUUGGCCCUCAUUUACAGAAUUCCUGCCCUCGCCCAGCCCCCUAUCCAGCCUAGGUUUUACAGUGAAACUGAUUCAGCUUUUUCCUAUCAGGGUCACUUAUCCCUAUAUUAAAAAAAAAAUCAGCUUUACUAACUUCCAUUAAUAUAGCAUCUUUCAUCCCACUUUUAAGUCUAACAAACUGAUAUACAGGCAUCUUUUCACUCACCACUAAGAUGCAGCCACCUCUAGGGUGGAAAGCACUAGCAGUUUAACAGAGUAGAGCAAGUCUGUAUAAUACUGACAAAGGGCUGGAAGAGAAGAUAACUGUAUGUGACAGUGCAUAGAAUCUUUUUGGAGGCUAGCAAAGAAGUGGUUAAUUCUGGCUAGUGAAAAGAACAUAGCUGCCUGCCCUGAGUGCAGGGAAUUGCAGGGUAACAGGGCUGGGCCAGUGGGAGGGAAUUAAUUGUUUCCACCUACUCAUAUGAGAAGGAUGGUGCUGUGGGCUGAGUCCAACAAACGAGGUCAAGAUACCUAGGAGGAGGUAGAAAUGUCAAGCUGGAGGUUGACUUGCUCCUUUGGGGACCUUGGCUAAAGUGAGCUAUGUUCUAGAUUUUUGCUUUGCCCUUUAGCAGAGCAGAGUCCUGUCGUUUGCCCCUUAAGAAGCAGGUGACUCACUCCUUUGUAGUUUCUGGUUUGUUGUACUAUCAAGUUUACCACCCUUAAAGACCAGCAUUUCCAUAACCCCUCACUGUCGGGUCAUGAGUGUUGAACAUCACUGGUCAGACACCCAGUUCUAGGCCUUUGCAAUGUCUAAAGGUUAUCAGCUAAAUGAGGGAAGUUGGGGAUGGAGAAGAUCUUCUGGGUCAUCUAGUUAAUUCACUAGCAAGUGCAGGACUAUGCUGCCUGCUUCUGGGAAUACAUUCUCUCCUGCCUUUUACAGUUUAGUCUCAAGUAUCUUGCAUGGUGGCUUUUCCACUCCUUAAUUGGGAGACUAUUUCACAAUUUAAUCUCCUCUUCGGGGGAUUCUUUUACCUUUUCCUCAUUCCAUCCUGCUACACCUGGUUAGACCCCUUUUGGAGCAACCUAAACAAUCCCUUUGCCUUGCUAAUGAUAUUUCUAUCCUUCGGGUAUAUAUGGAGUGCUAUGGUUGGCAGUUAGUUUAGGAGACCUUCUCUUUAUGUGUCUAUAAAAUACUCACUGCACUGCUGCCCCUAAACAAAUUGAUAAUGUCCACUCCAACUUCAGUCAUCAUGUAGCUCAGAGAAUAACUCUUUCCAUUGAACUGGUAACACAAGAGGUAGUAUUGAAAUGUUCCCUGGGUUUCCACAAGUGGGUCUCUAGGAGGAAAUUUUUUCUUCAUGCUACAUUGCUGUGAAGAUCUUCUAGUGAAAUCCUGGAAGUCUUGCAAGUUUAAUAGUAAAGGUUAAUAAUAAUCACAACAGGCAGCACAUCAUUGCCUUUGUAUCUGGUUGAGAGAUUUACAACUUAAGCUCAUGGCAGAGGAAGAAAUUGCUUCAAUCACCUGGAGUAAUGGCACACAGAGAGCCACUUGGGCAUGACUGCUAUUUAACAUGACAAACCCAGCCCGGCUUCAUUUCAUGUGCUGGUUCUUUUCUAAUAAACACGUUACUCGAUAAGGUGAGGAUUAUGUUUUAAAAAAUAAGUAAAUUGGAGAUGGGGGAGAGGGGUCAGCGUGCAAUGGAUUUUUCAGGGGUGGGGCACAGUAGAAGGAAAGAAGGCAACUCAUGGAAUGUAGCGGAUAACUCCUUUGCAGAGAGAGUCCCAAAACCCAAGGAUAGCCCUUGCUUUGUGGGUAGGCAGCCCCAAAGCCUGAUGACUAAGCUCUUAAAUUGGUACCCAUUGCUAUAAUAUCUAGCAUCUCUGUGACUGAUAAUUAAAGACUUGGGGAUUGAGAUGAUAUUUGCAGGGCCCGAUGGUCUUGUAUAUGGCUUAUCCACAACAGGUGGAAACACAUUAUUGUCAGGUGCAGGCACAGGUUGCUGUUGCUGGAUUCAAUCCAGCUGAGAUGUUUGGGGUCGUCUCCUUUUUCCCUCAUACCUCUGACUGAGCUGAUGUGAGUGAUGGACUAGAGCUUCGAUAAGUAGAUCUUCAGUUUCUCCAGCCCUACCUGGCUAGGUCUUACUGUAGCAAGCUGUACUGAACUGUCCCUUAAAGACUUCUGUAUUGUAAGAAGAGAACCCCAGGACUGCUGGAGUUUAGUUUAGUGAAGGAAAACUAUGCACGGAGCAGGUUGUGGGAGCUCUGCUGUUACAAAAUCACUCAGCAUACUGGUGUGUUUCUCUGUGACACUACACAAGUAAAAAGAUGAACCUAUUGGAAUGUCACUUACACUCCAUUUUUCUGUUGGUCUCGAGGCACCCAGC